This is a long non-coding RNA of Corvus hawaiiensis (hawaiian crow), 2783 nucleotides long. RefSeq lists it as uncharacterized. The transcript is spliced from 2 exons. NCBI's taxonomy places the organism in Eukaryota, Metazoa, Chordata, Aves, Passeriformes, Corvidae. The record is from RefSeq and is a predicted model, not a curated record.
GGCCCCUCAGCACAAGUGCCGGCCAAGGGCGCUACCGGCACUCCAGUCUUAUUUUAGGCUGCAGACAGACUCUUACAGGAACAGGACACUUAAAACUUGGCAGCGUACGUGCCGGCCUUUCAGCGCUCCUCUCCUGAGUGUGGACUUGCUUUAUCAGAGGAUACUUCUUGCAUGCACAUAUUGAACAUACAGGAUACAAGAGAGACAGUAUAGAAUAUUUAAAUAAUUGAUUCCAUUACUGAACACUUAGAAAAAAUCAACAGUAUUGUGAAGUUUCCAGUUACAACUACUGAUUUUAAUACAUGUACUUGCUAAUACAGACUUUAAAUGACAACUGGUAAGAACUGGCAGUUCAUCUUAUCUCAUACACGUGAAACUAGUUCCAGCAAUAAAAAUGGAGAACAGCUCUUGGGACUUCUAAGAAAAUAAAUUUCCCGUAAUUCAACUUGGUUAUUGAUAGCAGACAUCAACAAAUGAAGCAAAGCUCAUGUCUCUGAAUAUUCAGGCCAACAGAAGUCACAGAUCACAUUCUUGCCAAAUAUUCACUGGAACAGUGCUCUGCCAGUUAACUUCAUUAGCAUGUUAAUAAAAGACAAUCUAUUUGAAACAGUCCUCUGAAAGUAAACCUAUCCUUAGUCCUGAAAGCAAUGCAACUUAAAGCAAAACCUUAUUUCAUUAUAGAAGUGCUACAAUAUGUGGGCUUUUAAGGAAUUACAAUGCUAGAACAUCCAGGAAAACAGCUCACACAAGAACAGUCAGUGGUUUGGAGAUGCUGGAACUAACACAUCACGUUUAACAGUCAGCUUCCUAUGCUUGGAAAGAAUUCUGGUGUUUUGGACACAACUGGAUCAUGAAAAAAAGUUACCUACAUCUCAUGUGCAAAACUUAAGUUACACCACAAGAACAAUUAUGAAAUAAAAAAGAAUUGUUCAUUCAGCAGAAGAGACAUCAUCGUCACCAAAAUAAGCCAGGCGAGUAACUCAAAUCAAAGUAAAUAUGACUUUCCAAUAAUUCAAAUUUCACUUCCUAAAGAGAAAAAAUAUUCUGAAAAUCUAUACUAAAAUGAAGAUGAUAAUUUCAAUGUUAAAUUCAUAUAAUGCUAAAUUGUAAACCAUAGAAAAAUAUUACUUUUGUUGACUUAUUUUAAUAACUUGUAAACAAGUAUUCUCUGUUUGUACAUAUGGCAAUGAAAAAAUUCUUACAUCAGUGUAGUUUGAAAAAUAAUUGAAGUGCAUUCUAAAAAUGCAUUGUUAGUUGGUUUUAAUAGCUUCUAUCAUUGAUUUAUAAACUAGAUUAUUUUAUUCUGAUAUAGAGAUAAUUCUCUUUCAUACUCAAAAACAUUCAGGACUACUGUUUUAAGAAUGAUUUGGGGGAAAAAAAAAAAGAGACAACAGCUAUUAAAGGCUAAGAUUUGCCAAUAACGCUCUUGCUGUUACAGAAAUACCACAGGUUUUUUCCUACUUACUAUUAUUUUUAAGUGCUCAUUUUUUCAGCUGAGACUGUUUUGUUGUUGUUAUAAUCGAGAAACAACACCAUCUCUAUUUUGAACACACCUCAGGGGGCAGGGGGAAGCUGACAGCUUUUUUAAUAGAAAAAAACAACCAUGAGGCAUGAAGAUUCUAUUCUGCUGGUCACAACAUUGAAAAGCAUUAAGUAAAACAAUAAGACACUGGUACAUUGUUUCACCGUUUCUGAAUUUUGAGCUAAAUAGAGAGAUUUAUGAGGUACACACAAACAGACAUGAGGAUUUACAUACACAAAUGCUUGGAAACACGCCACAGAAAAGGGGGGUUGAUCUCACACAAAUAACUCCAUGGAAUUCCAUAGGUCUUUCCAGAGCUUGCACCAGUAGAACAUUGGAUUGUCUCACUGCUAUUACAGCCUUCUAACACAUGGGUCUAGAGAAAGAAGUCAUGCUGAAUUACAAGAAGUUAUGUUGGCUUGCCCCAUCCCACCCUAAACAGUUUCAUGGAAGCAAUAGGCUACAUAAUCAGUAAACACAACCUGCUACUUUCCCCCUUCUUUGUCCCAGUUUUGUCCUAAAAAAAAAAUCAAGAGCUAAGUUCAUGUUAAAUUUAUCGCACCGUGAUACCUUGCUUUCAGGUGUUCUCCCCUCUCCUGAGCCUUUCCCUGCUUUCAAGAUGCAUCUCCAAGCUCCUAAUACUCCAGUAAAGACAUUUAACCAAUAUUAGUCAUCUUAUAUUCAACAGCAUAACAUCUUCCCCUCCAUGUACCAUGAGAGUUAUGCUGAUUGCUGAUCCUUCCAGUUCCUUGUUUUUUUCUAAUUUUUUAGGGGUUUUACAUUAGAUAAGAUCUAGUCAUUAUUAUGUGCUUGUAUUUCUAGACAAAAGGGACAAAUUUAUGGUAGAAUAAUGCCAUCUUGAGCCUACUGGGGAAGAACCAAUCAACUAAUUAAAAAAAAAAAAACAAAAAAAGCAAACACCAAACACAAUGGACUUUAGAUCAUAAUCCUGCAAACAUGUACUCACUCAAAAAGAAUUCAAUAGUACUAUGCUGAGCUUAAUAAAAAACUUGUGAAAUUAAACUAAGUAAAACUUCAUAAAAACAAACAAAUUCUCACUUUUUUACAAGGAGUUCCUUCGUCCAAAGAAGCGGACAUGUAAAUAACCACUUCUUAGGAACAAUUUCCCUUUUCAUCUAACCCUCUUUCUUCACAGAUUCCUGGAAAAUAUGUGUUAAGCCUCAACAUUCCAAAAUAGAGAAGUUGAUUUUUUUUUUUAGUUAAGAUUCCUCUCCAUCCAAUACAGAAAGAAAACUUGAAA